RNAcentral lists this ribosomal RNA (609 nucleotides) under uncultured bacterium. Its description in RNAcentral is "bacterial SSU rRNA". It matches the Rfam family "Bacterial small subunit ribosomal RNA", at positions 67 to 665 of the family's 1533-position model. The record is from RNAcentral.
CGGCAGCACAGGAGAGCUUGCUCUCUGGGUGGCGAGUGGCGGACGGGUGAGGAAUACAUCGGAAUCUACUUUUUCGUGGGGGAUAACGUAGGGAAACUUACGCUAAUACCGCAUACGACCUACGGGUGAAAGCAGGGGAUCUUCGGACCUUGCGCGAUUGAAUGAGCCGAUGUCGGAUUAGCUAGUUGGCGGGGUAAAGGCCCACCAAGGCGACGAUCCGUAGCUGGUCUGAGAGGAUGAUCAGCCACACUGGAACUGAGACACGGUCCAGACUCCUACGGGAGGCAGCAGUGGGGAAUAUUGGACAAUGGGCGCAAGCCUGAUCCAGCCAUACCGCGUGGGUGAAGAAGGCCUUCGGGUUGUAAAGCCCUUUUGUUGGGAAAGAAAUCCAGCUGGCUAAUACCCGGUUGGGAUGACGGUACCCAAAGAAUAAGCACCGGCUAACUUCGUGCCAGCAGCCGCGGUAAUACGAAGGGUGCAAGCGUUACUCGGAAUUACUGGGCGUAAAGCGUGCGUAGGUGGUCGUUUAAGUCCGUUGUGAAAGCCCUGGGCUCAACCUGGGAACUGCAGUGGAUACUGGGCGACUAGAGUGUGGUAGAGGGUAGCGGA